This 301-nucleotide ribosomal RNA is filed under the name uncultured bacterium. RNAcentral's name for it is "partial 16S ribosomal RNA". It matches the Rfam family "Bacterial small subunit ribosomal RNA", at positions 509 to 807 of the family's 1533-position model. The record is from RNAcentral.
CAGUAGCCGCGGUAAUACGUAGGGUGCAAGCGUUAAUCAGAAUUACUGGGCGUAAAGCGUGCGCAGGCGGUUAUAUAAGACAGAUGUGAAAUCCCCGGGCUCAACCUGGGAACUGCAUUUGUGACUGUAUAGCUAGAGUACGGCAGAGGGGGAUGGAAUUCCGCGUGUAGCAGUGAAAUGCGUAGAUAUGCGGAGGAACACCGAUGGCGAAGGCAAUCCCCUGGGCCUGUACUGACGCUCAUGCACGAAAGCGUGGGGAGCAAACAGGAUUAGAUACCCCUGUAGUCCCUGUCUCUUAUAC